UGAGGUAGUAAGCAGACCAAUGCUGCACAAAGUGACUGGUUCAGGUCCCAGUGUGUUAGUGGGAGCUGGGUGGGGGUGGACUGAGGUUCAGAGUUCAGUGGUGCAUGGGGAAAAAGAGGGGAGGGGGGCAAGGUCGGGAGGGAGUUCAGCUUCCUGACAGCCUGAUGGAUGAAGCUGUCCUUCAGUCUGCUGGUUCUGGCCUGGAAACUCCGCACUCUCCCCCCCCCGAUGGCAGCAGACUGAAGAAGCUGUGUGACGGGUGGGUGGGAUGAGAUGGGUUCCAUAAAUGUCCUGGAGGGAGGGGAGAGAGACACCAACGAUCAUCUCAGCUGCUCUCACUACGCGUUAAAGAGUCUUCUGGCAGGACACGUUGCAGGCGCCAUACCACACAGUGAUGCAGCUAGUCAGGAUGCUCUCGAUGGUGCUUCUGUAGAAGGUGCACAUGAUGGGGGCCACCACAGUCAUGUCAUCUGCCAUCUUAAUAAAGAGGUUGCAGUUGUGUGACGCUGUGCAGUCGUGGGUCAGCAGAGUGAAGAGGAGGGGGCUCAGCGCACAUCCUUGGGGGACUCCAGUGUUCAGUGUGAUGGUGCUGGAUGUGUUGCUGCCGACCCGUACUGCCUGAGGUCAGAAAGUCAGAAAGUCUAACAGCCAGUUGCACAGCAAAGUGUACUUGCAACACCUGACUGAAGAAGCAUAGUUUCUUGUUAGCAAGGAAUAUGGCCUUAAAUAAAUAUGCUCUUUGGCACAAUAACCAAGCUAACAUGCAGUGUUAUGGAGGCCCAGGAUGCUUCGAUAGCGGCCUUAAGCUCAUCCAGAGUGUUGGGUCUUGCGUCUCUCAACUUUCUCUUCACAAUAUCCCACAGAUUCUCUAUGGGGUUCAGGUCAGGAGAGUUGGCAGGCCAAUUGAGCACAGUAAUACCAUGGUCAGUAAACCAUUUACCAGUGGUUUUGGCACUGUGAGCAGGUGCCAGGUCGUGCUGAAAAACGAAAUCUUCAUCUCCAUAAAGCUUUUCAGCAGAUGGAAGCAUGAAGUGCUCCAAAAUCUCCUGAUAGCUAGCUGC
Long non-coding RNA from Cyprinus carpio carpio, 1061 nucleotides. The record is from Ensembl. NCBI's taxonomy places the organism in Eukaryota, Metazoa, Chordata, Actinopteri, Cypriniformes, Cyprinidae.